RNAcentral lists this ribosomal RNA (460 nucleotides) under uncultured bacterium. Its description in RNAcentral is "partial 16S ribosomal RNA". It matches the Rfam family "Bacterial small subunit ribosomal RNA", at positions 338 to 795 of the family's 1533-position model. The record is from RNAcentral.
CCUACGGGCGGCAGCAGUGAGGAAUAUUUGUCAAUGGGCGGAAGCCUGAACCAGCCAAGUAGCGUGCAGGAUGACGGCCCUACGGGUUUUAAACUGCUUUUAUACGGGAAUAACGCGCCUUACGUUUAGGGCUUUGCAUGUACCGUAUGAAUAAGGACCGGCUAAUUCCGUGACAGCAGCCGCGGUAAUACGGAAGGUCCGGGCGUUAUCCGGAUUUAGUGGGUAUAAAGGGAGCGUAGGCCGCAUGUCAAGCGUGCUGUGAAAUGUCCGGUCUCAACCCUGUCCUUACAGGGCGAACUGGCGUGCUUGAGACCGCGGAAAGCAAGCGGAAUUCGUAGUGUAGCGGUGAAAUGCGUAGAUAUGACGAAGAACACCGAUAGCGAAGGCAGCUUGCUGCAGCGGAACUGACGCUGAUGCUCGAAAGCGCAGGUAUCGAACAGGAUUAGAUACCCUGGUAGUC